This 72-nucleotide transfer RNA is filed under the name Bos taurus (domestic cattle). It matches the Rfam family "tRNA". Rfam says of the family: Transfer RNA (tRNA) molecules are approximately 80 nucleotides in length. Their secondary structure includes four short double-helical elements and three loops (D, anti-codon, and T loops). The record is from Rfam by way of RNAcentral. RNAcentral also lists the same sequence under 2 other names. Lineage: Eukaryota; Metazoa; Chordata; Mammalia; Artiodactyla; Bovidae.
UCCCUGGUGGCUCAGUCAGUAAAGAAUCUGUCUACAAUGCAGAAGACUCAGGUUCAAUCCCUGGGUGGGGAA